AAAAGGAAGUGAUUCCGGCGGAGGAUGGGCAUGCGGCGCAUUAGCUUGUUGGCGGGGUAACGGCCCACCAAGGCGACGAUGCGUAGGGGUUCUGAGAGGAAGGUCCCCCACACUGGUACUGAGACACGGGCCAGACUCCUACGGGAGGCAGCAGUGAGGAAUAUUGGUCAAUGGGCGGGAGCCUGAACCAGCCAAGUCGCGUGAGGGAAGACGGUCCUAUGGAUUGUAAACCUCUUUAGGCGGGGAGCAAUGCCGGGCACGCGUGCCCGGAGGGAGAGUACCCGCAGAAUAAGCAUCGGCUAACUCCGUGCCAGCAGCCGCGGUAAUACGGAGGAUGCGAGCGUUAUCCGGAUUUAUUGGGUUUAAAGGGUGCGUAGGCGGAUUUUUAAGUCAGCGGUAAAAUGUCCGGGCUCAACCCGGGCCGGCCGUUGAAACUGGGGAUCUUGAGUGGGCGAGAAGUAUGCGGAAUGCGUGGUGUAGCGGUGAAAUGCAUAGAUAUCACGCAGAACUCCGAUUGCGAAGGCAGCAUACCGGCGCCCGACUGACGCUGAGGCACGAAAGCGUGGGGAUCGAACAGGAUUAGAUACCCUGGUAGUCCACGCAGUAAACGAUGAAUGCUAGUUGUCCGGUUCUUUGGGACUGG
Molecule: ribosomal RNA, 643 nt
Filed under: uncultured bacterium
Lineage: Bacteria
Description: bacterial SSU rRNA
Rfam family: Bacterial small subunit ribosomal RNA
Source: RNAcentral